Molecule: small nuclear RNA, 256 nt
Filed under: Rhinopithecus bieti (black snub-nosed monkey)
Lineage: Eukaryota; Metazoa; Chordata; Mammalia; Primates; Cercopithecidae
Description: 7SK RNA (ENSRBIG00000020687.1)
Rfam family: 7SK RNA
About the family: 7SK was discovered as an abundant small nuclear RNA in the mid-70s but a possible function has only recently been suggested.
Source: Rfam by way of RNAcentral
GGAUCUCAGCUCACUGCAAGCUCUGCCUUCCGGGUUUNAUCCUUCCUGUGCUCAGUUGAAGAGGAUGACCUUCCCUCAUAAAGGGGGACCAUUCUUUGGUCAAGGGUAUACCAGCAGCUAUGUUCCCCUGCUAGAAUUUCCAAGUAAGCUUUCAAAGAUGCAAAUUCAACCCUCUCUUUGACUGUUAAAACACACGGGCCUGUUUUAAAUCUGCAAUAUUCAAUAGAGAUACAUCCUGAUGUGCCAAUCUUCAAUU